CACGUAGGGUGCGAGCGUUGUCCGGAAUUAUUGGGCGUAAAGAGCUCGUAGGCGGUGUGUCGCGUCGGCCGUGAAAACCUGCAGCUUAACUGUGGGCGUGCGGUCGAUACGGGCAUCACUGGAGUUCGGCAGGGGAGACUGGAAUUCCUGGUGUAGCAGUGAAAUGCGUAGAUAUCAGGAGGAACACCGAUGGCGAAGGCAGGUCUCUGGGCUGACACUGACGCUCAUGCACGAAAGCGUGGGGAGCAAACAGG
RNAcentral lists this ribosomal RNA (254 nucleotides) under uncultured bacterium. Its description in RNAcentral is "partial 16S ribosomal RNA". It matches the Rfam family "Bacterial small subunit ribosomal RNA", at positions 524 to 776 of the family's 1533-position model. The record is from RNAcentral.